RNAcentral lists this ribosomal RNA (775 nucleotides) under Vibrio parahaemolyticus. Its description in RNAcentral is "partial 23S ribosomal RNA". It matches the Rfam family "Bacterial large subunit ribosomal RNA", at positions 410 to 1188 of the family's 2925-position model. Lineage: Bacteria; Pseudomonadati; Pseudomonadota; Gammaproteobacteria; Vibrionales; Vibrionaceae. The record is from RNAcentral.
GAGUAGGGCGGGACACGUGAUAUCCUGUCUGAAUAUGGGGGGACCAUCCUCCAAGGCUAAAUACUACUGACUGACCGAUAGUGAACCAGUACCGUGAGGGAAAGGCGAAAAGAACCCCUGUGAGGGGAGUGAAAUAGAACCUGAAACCGUGUACGUACAAGCAGUAGGAGCAGGCUUUGUCCUGUGACUGCGUACCUUUUGUAUAAUGGGUCAGCGACUUAUAUUCAGUGGCAAGGUUAACCAUCUAGGGGAGCCGUAGGGAAACCGAGUCUUAACUGGGCGUUCAGUCUCUGGAUAUAGACCCGAAACCAGGUGAUCUAGCCAUGGGCAGGUUGAAGGUUGAGUAACAUCAACUGGAGGACCGAACCGACUAAUGUUGAAAAAUUAGCGGAUGACUUGUGGCUAGGGGUGAAAGGCCAAUCAAACCUGGAGAUAGCUGGUUCUCCCCGAAAGCUAUUUAGGUAGCGCCUCGGACGAAUACUACUGGGGGUAGAGCACUGUUAAGGCUAGGGGGUCAUCCCGACUUACCAACCCUUUGCAAACUCCGAAUACCAGUAAGUACUAUCCGGGAGACACACGGCGGGUGCUAACGUCCGUCGUGGAGAGGGAAACAACCCAGACCGCCAGCUAAGGUCCCAAAUUACUACUAAGUGGGAAACGAUGUGGGAAGGCUCAGACAGCCAGGAUGUUGGCUUAGAAGCAGCCAUCAUUUAAAGAAAGCGUAAUAGCUCACUGGUCGAGUCGGCCUGCGCGGAAGAUGUAACGGGGCUAAGUA